Molecule: long non-coding RNA, 1096 nt
Filed under: Salmo salar (Atlantic salmon)
Lineage: Eukaryota; Metazoa; Chordata; Actinopteri; Salmoniformes; Salmonidae
Description: lncRNA (ENSSSAG00000084302.1)
Source: RNAcentral
GGGUAAGGACGUCCCAAUGAAUCCGUAUUGCAGUGACCGUUCAUAGAGUGGGAGACUGGCACGGUAUUUGAGAGCUCGGCAGCGACACAGACAUUCAUUUGUUUUUUUGUUUUGUACAAGCGGCAGAAGCGACUUUCGAGUGUCUGCACCGGAUAGUUUACUUAUUCGAGACAAUGAAAACAAUUACCAAGAUGUCCUUAAUCCAAAUGAGGAGGAAACGAGGUACAACAUGCAACUUCGAUUGAAGACCUAAAAUCAUGCCUGACAAUAUCACAACGGUAUCCUAAUAUAGUGUGGAUACAGUAGUAGCCUAUUCUUCAACAAUUUAACUGUAUGUGCAUGCUAGUAUUAUUUAUCUAAUUGAUCAAUUACAUUGUAAAUGUGGAUGGGUACGCUAUUUCAUUCAAUAUUUACGUUAUUGUACAAGGUAGACACAGGAAUAGUCUAUAGUCUACAAUAGUAAUGUAAUUGAAUGUGCUAUAGUAUCAUUUCUUUCAUUGAUGAAUACAAUUGUACAUGGGGAUGGGUAGGCUACUGAAUAUAUUGCUGUCUCUGGGAGUAUGUUAAUGACGGCUUUUCAGCUGUUGAACUAUGGCAAUGUCGAAAUAAUUUCUUUUAAUUUCUUUUAGUCAAAAUGUGAUGAGCCAGAGCAACCAAUCAGCUUCACUGUAGGUGCUCAACCCCCCACCCUCACUGUUCUCCCUCCACAAGUAACCACAUCCUCUUCUCCUGUUCAACUACUUUGCCACCACUCUAACAAUGACUGUACAUAUACCCCUGUGCCCAUCUGUGUCACAUGAUCCAUCCAAGACCUCAGCUGGAUGCCUAAAAUGGGAGAAAUGUAAGCAAGAUGCUAUAGUAUGUGUGUAUGGAUGGAGUUCCACGUAAAGACUUGAUAAGAUGGCAAAGGAGAUAGUGAUGAGAGUGAGAGCAUACAGUAUGAAAAUAAAGACCCAUUGGGAUCUAAAAUGAGUGUGGGGUGCCUCUUGUGUCUCCUUUUUGUCCAUUUGAGGAUACUACAGUCACCCCUGGUGGAGGUUGUUGGAACACUGUGAUUUAAGUCUGAGCAGAGGUUGACAAAAACCUUGAAAGGUGG